Molecule: ribosomal RNA, 1102 nt
Filed under: Salmonella enterica subsp. enterica serovar Kentucky
Lineage: Bacteria; Pseudomonadati; Pseudomonadota; Gammaproteobacteria; Enterobacterales; Enterobacteriaceae
Description: partial 23S ribosomal RNA
Rfam family: Bacterial large subunit ribosomal RNA
Source: RNAcentral
AGGGAAACCGAGUCUUAACUGGGCGUUAAGUUGCAGGGUAUAGACCCGAAACCCGGUGAUCUAGCCAUGGGCAGGUUGAAGGUUGGGUAACACUAACUGGAGGACCGAACCGACUAAUGUUGAAAAAUUAGCGGAUGACUUGUGGCUGGGGGUGAAAGGCCAAUCAAACCGGGAGAUAGCUGGUUCUCCCCGAAAGCUAUUUAGGUAGCGCCUCGUGAACUCAUCUUCGGGGGUAGAGCACUGUUUCGGCUAGGGGGUCAUCCCGACUUACCAACCCGAUGCAAACUGCGAAUACCGAAGAAUGUUAUCACGGGAGACACACGGCGGGUGCUAACGUCCGUCGUGAAGAGGGAAACAACCCAGACCGCCAGCUAAGGUCCCAAAGUCACAGUUAAGUGGGAAACGAUGUGGGAAGGCUCAGACAGCCAGGAUGUUGGCUUAGAAGCAGCCAUCAUUUAAAGAAAGCGUAAUAGCUCACUGGUCGAGUCGGCCUGCGCGGAAGAUGUAACGGGGCUAAACUGUGCACCGAAGCUGCGGCAGCGACGCUUAUGCGUUGUUGGGUAGGGGAGCGUUCUGUAAGCCUGCGAAGGUGUCCUGUGAGGGAUGCUGGAGGUAUCAGAAGUGCGAAUGCUGACAUAAGUAACGAUAAUGCGGGUGAAAAGCCCGCUCGCCGGAAGACCAAGGGUUCCUGUCCAACGUUAAUCGGGGCAGGGUGAGUCGACCCCUAAGGCGAGGCCGAAAGGCGUAGUCGAUGGGAAACGGGUUAAUAUUCCCGUACUUGGUGUUACUGCGAAGGGGGGACGGAGAAGGCUAUGUUGGCCGGGCGACGGUUGUCCCGGUUUAAGCGUGUAGGCUGGUUUUCCAGGCAAAUCCGGAAAAUCAAGGCUGAGGCGUGAUGACGAGGCACUACGGUGCUGAAGCAACAAAUGCCCUGCUUCCAGGAAAAGCCUCUAAGCAUCAGGUAACAUCAAAUCGUACCCCAAACCGACACAGGUGGUCAGGUAGAGAAUACCAAGGCGCUUGAGAGAACUCGGGUGAAGGAACUAGGCAAAAUGGUGCCGUAACUUCGGGAGAAGGCACGCUGACACGUAGGUGAAGUGAU